CCUACGGGAGGCAGCAGUGAGGAAUCUUGGUCAAUGGACGCAAGUCUGAACCAGCCAUGCCGCGUGCAGGAAGACGGCUCUAUGAGUUGUAAACUGCUUUUGUACGAGGGUAAACGCAGAUACGCGUAUCUGUCUGAUAGUAUCGUACGAAUAUAGAUAGGCUAACUCCGUGCCAGCAGCCGCGGUAAUACGGAGGAUUCAAGCGUUAUCCGGAUUUAUUGGGUUUAAAGGGUGCGUAGGCGGUCCGAUAAGUUAGAUGUGAAAGCCCGAGGCUCAACUUCGGAAUUGCCUCUGAUACUGUUCGGCUAGAGAGUAGUAGCGGUAGGCGGAAGGUAUGGUGUAGCGGUGAAAUGCUUAGAGAUCAGACAGAACACCGAUUGCGAAGGCAGCUUACCAAGCUACUUCUGACGUUGAGGCACGAAAGCGUGGGGAGCAAACAGGAUUAGAUACCCGGGUAGUC
RNAcentral lists this ribosomal RNA (460 nucleotides) under uncultured bacterium. RNAcentral describes it as "partial 16S ribosomal RNA". It matches the Rfam family "Bacterial small subunit ribosomal RNA", at positions 338 to 795 of the family's 1533-position model. The record is from RNAcentral.